This 184-nucleotide non-coding RNA is filed under the name Erwinia sp. CPCC 100877. RNAcentral's name for it is "6S RNA". It matches the Rfam family "6S / SsrS RNA". Rfam says of the family: E. coli 6S RNA was the first non coding RNA to be sequenced, but its function was unknown until recently. It consists of 184 nucleotides that fold into an extended hairpin structure with a large single-stranded internal bulge. The record is from RNAcentral. Lineage: Bacteria; Pseudomonadati; Pseudomonadota; Gammaproteobacteria; Enterobacterales; Erwiniaceae.
AUUUCUCUGAGAUGUUUGCAAGCGGGCCAGUCCCCUGAGCCGAUAUUUCAAACCACAAGAAUGUGACGCUCCAUGUUCGGUGUGCAUGCCCGGCCAGUCCGGGAAGCCUUAAGAAUAUGACGACGCAUUCACCUUGAACCACGGGUUCAAGGGUUACAGCCUGCGGCGGCAUCUCGGAGAUCCC